RNAcentral lists this ribosomal RNA (488 nucleotides) under uncultured bacterium. Its description in RNAcentral is "partial 16S ribosomal RNA". It matches the Rfam family "Bacterial small subunit ribosomal RNA", at positions 28 to 507 of the family's 1533-position model. The record is from RNAcentral.
GACGAACGCUGGCGGCGUGCUUAACACAUGCAAGUCGAACGGAAAGGCCCAGCUUUUGUGGGGUGCUCGAGUGGCGAACGGGUGAGUAACACGUGAGUAACCUGCCCUUGACUUUGGGAUAACUUCAGGCAACUGGGGCUAAUACCGGAUAGGAGCUCCUGCUGCAUGGUGGGGGUUGGAAAGUUUCGGCGGUUGGGGAUGGACUCGCGGCGUAUCAGCUUGUUGGUGGGGUAGUGGCUUACCAAGGCGUCGACGGGUAGCCGGCCUGAGAGGGUGAUCGGGCACACGGGAACUGAGACAGGGUCGAGACGAGUGCGGGAGGGAGCAGGGGGGAAUAGUGGAAAAUGGGCGAAAGCCUGAUCCAGCGAUGCCGCGUGGGGGAAGAAGGGCUUCGGAUUGUAAAGCACUGUAAGUUGGGAGGAAGGGCAGUAAGUUAAUACCUUGCUGUUUUGACGUUAACAAAAGAAGAAGCACCGGCUAACUUCGUG